GCGAAACCCUUUNGACGAGUNNAGGUUUUUGGAAGGGCAGCUUCUAAUGAGUCGUAAAUUUGAUAUAANGCNAAAUCCUUGCCAGAGACCNUUAGCGCACAAGUAGAGUNAUCCGAAGAUGAAAAGCAUUUUGAAAAGAGAGUCAAACAGUACGUGAAAAUGUUGAAAGGGAAGCGCUUGCAAUCAGAAUCGUUUGCAGAAGCUCAGCNUUCUUUUGGGAUGAUGUAUUCUUCUGUCAACGGGCCAGCACCAGUUUCGGCGGCUGGAUAAAGACUUUGAGAAUGUAGCUCUUUUCGGAGAGUGUUAUAGCUCGGAGUGUAAUGCAGCAGCCAAGACUGAGGUCCGCGCUUUUGCUAGGAUGCUGGCGUAAUGGUUGCU
RNAcentral lists this ribosomal RNA (378 nucleotides) under Graphis pulverulenta. RNAcentral's name for it is "partial 28S large subunit ribosomal RNA". It matches the Rfam family "Eukaryotic large subunit ribosomal RNA", at positions 246 to 642 of the family's 3401-position model. The record is from RNAcentral. Lineage: Eukaryota; Fungi; Ascomycota; Lecanoromycetes; Ostropales; Graphidaceae.